Molecule: long non-coding RNA, 3351 nt
Organism: Homo sapiens (human)
Lineage: Eukaryota; Metazoa; Chordata; Mammalia; Primates; Hominidae
Exons: 6
Source: RefSeq, a predicted model, not a curated record
AGCCACUAACCUCUUGAAAUGUGGCUAUUGUGGUUGAAUAUUGAUUUUGGAGUUGUAUUUAACUUUAAUUAAUUUAAAUAAAAUUUAAAUAGCCACAUGUGGCUAAUGGCUACCAUAUUGGACAGCAGAGUUCUCUGGGAAUUCACCAACCCUGAAAGCACCAUCUCCAAUGGCUGGAUUUGUUUUUGGUUUUGCUUCUUCUAAGUUCAUGUUAGACGGGUAAUGUGCUGACGUCAUAACAAGGUUUGAGGGUGACACAUCUCACACACGCAUGCGUGAGCACCCAAUUAUCAUACUUAUGAACUGCAAUUAUCAGCUUAUGGCUGGAUUUGAAGCGGAGACACAUAGCUAUGCUUGACCUAAUACCUCAUUUUGGCUUUUCACUUAUAAUUAAUUACUCACCUAAUCAUUUACUCAGUAAAUGUCCUCUGAAUACCUGCUAUGUUCCAGGCACUUGCUAAAGUCUGGAAACAAAAUAGAAAGCAACACAUAUCUGGCCCUUACAUUUCUAAAGGCGUAAGUAGAAAAUUAAUUUAAAUAGCAUGAAGAUAAUUGGUAAACCCAAGACAUAAUGGUAGCCCAUCUCACUCCAGAUAAGUGUAAAACUAUAGAUGGUGUUUGUGUUACAAGGGAAAGGCACAUUGUACCAUGAGGACGGGGAACAUGGGCUCCACAUAGACUGAAGGAGAGUUUCCCUAAAUUAGAAAUUUUUUUGGAGGACUUUUAUUUCCUGCAGGUGGGGUGGGUUAGAUACCUAAGCAAUCUUGCCCAAAUGAAAGAACUCAAAUGCAGAAGAAAAUAUUUUUAGUAACAACUUUCUAAAGCCAUUGCUGGGUUGGCACAAAAAUAAGAAUCUAUAGAUCCCAAAAAGAAGGAAAAGCCAGACAGACACCCAAGUGAAGGUGACCUCUCUUUGUUCCUGGUUUCUUUGAAGAGCUUCUCUUUGCUUUUGAUGUUCCACAGUUUUAUCAUCGUAAGUCCAGAAAGAACAAUGCCAUGGCGAGGUACUCAGAGCUGAGGGAGGAAGAUUGCUGCAGCCAGUGAGCUAAGCGGAAAGAAUAUCCUGGGCUUCCUUGGGAUCCGAUGUGGACUUGGUCCAGCUGCAGGGAGAGAAUGUACUGCUCAGGCCGACGUGAGGAUCCAAUCCACUCACCGGUUACAUGCCACGAUGUAAAUUAAUAAAUUCGCAUUCUGAUUUUAUCAUCUGCCUCAUCUGAGGUCUGUAGGCGUGAGUCAGCAUCCCCUAGUUUAAUCAACAUGGACACUGAGACUAUCAAGCUUUUGAGCUGAAAAGCUAAGAAUUAGACCCAGGACCAGAGUGAAAUCACCAAGAUGAGGAAAUCCAAGCUCAGAAUGGAUAAUUCACCUAAGGAAAUACAGAUGGAAAAUGGCAGAGCUGCAAUCUAAACCCAGGUCCAUCUGAUAAUAAAGCCCAGGCUCUCCUCAACCAACUUCAGAUCUAGGAUGCUUCCAGUGAGACUCCGUGCUCCCUCCCUGUGUGGUUCCCAUGGCCUUUCUUUACCUCAAGAAAAUGCAGAGUGAAAAGCAAUGGUAGCAGAAGUUUCUAGAAGUUACUUAUAUGGCAAGUGCAAGUAUUUCAGAACACAUUUGAGAUUCAGGAAGGAGGCAAAAAGGCUUCUGCUGAGCAGUCAAAAUGACGAAGUUUGUAAACUUCACUUUAUUUGGGUCCCUGCUGAAAGUCUACCUACUCUUUAAAAACAAUAACAACAACAAAAAAUGGGAACACACUAUUAACGCUGUUCUGCACAUGUAUUUUUCAAUUAACAAUUGGUGAGUAUUCCCUUUUAGCGCACAUAGAUCUACCUCAUUCAUUUAAGGGCUCUGUAGUGCUGCAUUGUGUGAAUGCACCAAAUGUGUAUUUAUCCUGCAUUCUCUAGGUGGACAUUUUAGACACUUACAAGGGUUGGGGCUCAGAAAGUGAUAUCCCAAAGGCUGAUGUUUUGACAUGCUGAGGGCCCUCAGAAGCCGCCCCCGAACCAAGGUCCCUCUAACUUCUUGUUCCCCAUACCUGCCCCACCACCAAACACAGGGAGGGACUGUCUGUCUUUGGAAAUUUCCUCAUCUGACCAAGAAAGCAUCUUUCCAAAAGAAAUGCAAUUGUCUUAAACACCCUCCCUAGAGGUCUCAUCAAAUAACCAAGAAAGAUAAACCACCAGAAGAGAUGAGACUGGGAAUCAUCACCACACCCAGACAGACUUCAUCUAUUCUUCUGAGAGCAGCUCCAAGAGAUUGCCUGGAGGACUUUAUCUGCUUAAUAAGACAAGCUUUGUUCCUGUACAGCUCCGCCCCUCACCUUCCUGUAAUAUCUGCCUCCCACCUCCCCAGUCCAUACAUCUCCUCCCUCCUGUAUGAAAAAGGGUAUACAAGCUUCUGUGCCCCAUUGGGUUAUUGGGAAAUCAUUCUCCUGUGAUUCCCCUGUGCCAUGCACACUAAAAUAAAAUUUUGUAUGCCUUUUCUCCUAUCGAUCUGCCUUUGGUCAGUUGAUUUUUCAAUGAACCUUCAGAAGGCAAAGGGGAAGUUUUCCCUUGGCCCCUGUACAUGUCUUUUGUAACUAUAGAUAAUGCUGUCAUGAACACCCUUUCUUCCCCCAUGUCUGAUGGGUAACGCACCAACAUUGUAACAAAAUUGGAGGAAGGCAUAUGUCACACAUGAGCGUGAAAACCCAAUCACCACGCUUAUGAACUACAAAAAGUACAUGAAACUGUGUUAUCCACAAGUCAGAUGAACCCAAAGAACUUGUUUCCAAGCCCUUCCUGGAGCAGAAUCAGUGAAGAGGAGGGGAAAGGGUUGCUAGAGGCUGUUGGCCUGAAGCAAUACAAGCUACUGCUGACAGUCUGGCAGGAGAAAGGAGACACAAAACUCUACAAAGCAAACACAAGAAGGAAAACAGGCCAGGAUCAUUUAGCAGAAGGUCCAAACAGUCCAAGACGGCAGAGUAGGCCUUUAGCAUAUACGAACUGAGGUUGAGAAGUACACUUAACCAUGAAAAAAGGGGCUUAAAUCUCUUCUCCAUGCUCUGUUUUAGAAGGCAGAAGAGUGUAAAAUCCAUUUUAGAAUUAUUUUCCUCUAAAAUGGCGAUCUAGGAAAAGGCCCAGCACUUGAAAGGACAAACGUCGACUGUGUAUGUAGCACACACCAUAACCUAUGGCGUUGGAUAGAGUGCUAUUAUACAAAAAUUGAUUGCUUUUUUUUUGAAAAAACAAGGACAGACAAGGCCUAUAAAGAAUAUGGAAGAUGGGCUCUUAGAAAAGGUGGACAUUUUGGCCGGGUGCUGUGGCUCACGCCUGUAAUCCCAGCACUUUGAGAGGCCGAGGCGGGCAGAUCACCUGA